This 497-nucleotide ribosomal RNA is filed under the name uncultured bacterium. Its description in RNAcentral is "partial 16S ribosomal RNA". It matches the Rfam family "Bacterial small subunit ribosomal RNA", at positions 28 to 507 of the family's 1533-position model. The record is from RNAcentral.
GAUGAACGCUGGCGGCGUGCCUAAUACAUGCCAGUCGAGCGAACAGACGAGGAGCUUGCUCCUCUGACGUUAGCGGCGGACGGGUGAGUAACACGUGGAUAACCUACCUAUAAGACUGGGAUAACUUCGGGAAACCGGAGCUAAUACCGGAUAAUAUAUUGAACCGCAUGGUUCAAUAGUGAAAGACGGUUUUGCUGUCACUUAUAGAUGGAUCCGCGCCGCAUUAGCUAGUUGGUAAGGUAACGGCUUACCAAGGCAACGAUGCGUAGCCGACCUGAGAGGGUGAUCGGCCACACUGGAACUGGGCCACGGUCCAGACUCCUACGGGAGGCAGCAGUAGGGAAUCUUCCGCAAUGGGCGAAAGCCUGACGGAGCAACGCCGCGUGAGUGAUGAAGGUCUUCGGAUCGUAAAACUUUGUUAUUAGGGAAGAACAAAUGUGUAAGUAACUAUGCACGUCUUGACGGUACCUAAUCAGAAAGCCACGGCUAACUACGUG